GCGGUGCCUUCCGAGUUCCCUGGAACGGGACGCCUUAGAGGGUGAGAGCCCCGUACGGUUGGACACCAAGCCUCUGUAAAGCUCCUUCGACGAGUCGAGUAGUUUGGGAAUGCUGCUCUAAAUGGGAGGUAAAUUUCUUCUAAAGCUAAAUAUUGGCCAGAGACCGAUAGCGCACAAGUAGAGUGAUCGAAAGAUGAAAAGCACUUUGAAAAGAGGGUUAAAUAGCACGUGAAAUUGUUGAAAGGGAAGCGUUUGCGACCAGACCUUUUCCCGGCGGAUCAUCCGGUGUUCUCACCGGUGCACUUCGCCAGGUCGAGGCCAGCAUCGGUUUCUGUAGGGGGAUAAAAGCUCCGGGAACGUAGCUCCUCCGGGAGUGUUAUAGCCCUCUGCAUAAUACC
RNAcentral lists this ribosomal RNA (398 nucleotides) under Dematophora buxi. Its description in RNAcentral is "eukaryotic LSU rRNA". It matches the Rfam family "Eukaryotic large subunit ribosomal RNA", at positions 170 to 575 of the family's 3401-position model. Lineage: Eukaryota; Fungi; Ascomycota; Sordariomycetes; Xylariales; Xylariaceae. The record is from RNAcentral.